This 427-nucleotide ribosomal RNA is filed under the name uncultured bacterium. RNAcentral describes it as "partial 16S ribosomal RNA". It matches the Rfam family "Bacterial small subunit ribosomal RNA", at positions 354 to 796 of the family's 1533-position model. The record is from RNAcentral.
GUGGGGAAUCUUCCACAAUGGGCGAAAGCCUGAUGGAGCAACGCCGCGUGCAGGAUGAAGGCCUUCGGGUUGUAAACUGCUUUUAUAAGUGAAGAAUAUGACGGUAACUUAUGAAUAAGCACCGGCUAACUACGUGCCAGCAGCCGCGGUCAUACGUAGGGUGCAAGCAUUAUCCGGAGUGACUGGGCGUAAAGAGUUGCGUAGGUGGUUUGUUAAGCGAGUAGUGAAAUCAGGCGGCUCAACCGUUCUGGCUAUUACUCGAACUGGCAAACUCGAGAAUGGUAGAGGUAACUGGAAUUUCUUGUGUAGGAGUGAAAUCCGUAGAUAUAAGAAGGAACACCAAUGGCGUAGGCAGGUUACUGGACCAUUUCUGACACUAAGGCACGAAAGCGUGGGGAGCGAACGGGAUUAGAAACCCCGGUAGUCC